GACGAACGCUGGCGGCGUGCCUAAUACAUGCAAGUCGAGCGGACAGAAGGGAGCUUGCUCCCGGAUGUUAGCGGCGGACGGGUGAGUAACACGUGGGUAACCUGCCUGUAAGACUGGGAUAACUCCGGGAAACCGGAGCUAAUACCGGAUAGUUCCUUGAAUCGCAUGGUUCAAGGAUGAAAGACGGUUUCNGCUGUCACUUACAGAUGGACCCGCGGCGCAUUAGCUAGUUGGUGAGGUAACGGCUCACCAAGGCGACGAUGCGUAGCCGACCUGAGAGGGUGAUCGGCCACACUGGGACUGAGACACGGCCCAGACUCCUAC
Molecule: ribosomal RNA, 324 nt
Filed under: uncultured Bacillus sp.
Lineage: Bacteria; Bacillati; Bacillota; Bacilli; Caryophanales; Bacillaceae
Description: bacterial SSU rRNA
Rfam family: Bacterial small subunit ribosomal RNA
Source: RNAcentral